Molecule: ribosomal RNA, 294 nt
Filed under: uncultured bacterium
Lineage: Bacteria
Description: partial 16S ribosomal RNA
Rfam family: Bacterial small subunit ribosomal RNA
Source: RNAcentral
ACCUACGGGGGGCAGCAGUGAGGAAUAUUGGUCAAUGGGCGCGAGCCUGAACCAGCCAAGUAGCGUGAAGGAUGACUGCCCUACGGGUUGAAAACUUCUUUUAUAAAGGAAUAAAGUGAGGCACGUGUGCCUUUUUGUAUGUACUUUAUGAAUAAGGAUCGGCUAACUCAGUGCCAGCAGCCGCGGUAAUACGGAGGAUCCGAGCGUUAUCCGGAUUUAUUGGGUUUAAGGGGAGCGUAGAUGGGUUGUUAAGUCAGUUGUGAAAGUUAGCGGCGCAACCGUAAAAUUGAAAUU